This 70-nucleotide transfer RNA is filed under the name Fundulus olivaceus (blackspotted topminnow). Its description in RNAcentral is "tRNA-Tyr". It matches the Rfam family "tRNA". Rfam says of the family: Transfer RNA (tRNA) molecules are approximately 80 nucleotides in length. Lineage: Eukaryota; Metazoa; Chordata; Actinopteri; Cyprinodontiformes; Fundulidae. The record is from RNAcentral.
GGUAAGAUGGCUGAGAAUCAAGCGGUGGAUUGUAGCUCCAUAGACAGAGGUUUAAAUCCUCUUCUUACCA